AGCUUGUUCAUCCACUCUCAUCACCAGCUAAGAACAGGGCUUCGUCUCAAUGGAAGGCAAAACAGGGCAGCUCAGGUGCUGUUUCGUCGCCAUCGUGCUCGUCCUGGGUCUUGUCCUUGAGUCCCACCAGGCUGAAGCUGGAGGCAAAUGGUGCUGCGAAACCGCCACCGGAAAAUACCAUUUUAAUCGCUGCGUUGACUCGGGUUUGGUCGACAAUAUUGGGUUCUGUGCGGGUAAUGCCGGUUGCAUCAUUAUGGAAGACAGAUGUGGAGGCCGUUGGCCGGUGCCUGCUCGUGAUGCGCUUUCCCUGGAUGUCAUUUGAUUAAUUAUAAGCAAGUACGUGAAGAAACGAGGGCCAGACGACUGUCGUCCAGCGAUUGGUUAUUUGUGAACUUGUCGUUUGUCUUCUUAUUUCAACUUUCCAAUAAGCCCCUUCGUGAAGUGUCAUCCCCUUCAAAGUCUGUCGACUGUUACGUAUACAAAUCUAUAUAUCAAAUAAAGACGGCGCCGUACGUGUGUAUAUGUCUCUAUUUCUGAUCUUGCAGUCGUUUGCUUAAUCAAUUGUUCUGUCACUAUUUUAUCUAAUAAAAUUGCACGUACGCAUGUA
Long non-coding RNA from Zea mays, 607 nucleotides. RefSeq lists it as uncharacterized. The record is from RefSeq and is a predicted model, not a curated record. The transcript has 2 exons. Lineage: Eukaryota; Viridiplantae; Streptophyta; Magnoliopsida; Poales; Poaceae.